CAGAAGCCCGAGGAACAGCAGAAGCC
This 26-nucleotide non-coding RNA is filed under the name Mus musculus (house mouse). Lineage: Eukaryota; Metazoa; Chordata; Mammalia; Rodentia; Muridae. The record is from RNAcentral.